This 296-nucleotide long non-coding RNA is filed under the name Malus domestica (apple). RNAcentral's name for it is "long non-coding RNA (MDOM_LNC020542)". Lineage: Eukaryota; Viridiplantae; Streptophyta; Magnoliopsida; Rosales; Rosaceae. The record is from RNAcentral.
ACAAGCUCCAAGGUAGUCGAUAAGAAUGAAAAUCCUUAUGACUACAUUGAGUGCAUAUACGAUAUAUACUCAAGAAAAUGGUAAAAUACCAUUUGACUCGAAAUAAUGAAACCUUCAAGCUAAUUGGUAGCUUAAGGUGACUACAAUCAAAGAGAAUGGUUGACUUUGAAGAAACCAUCGAUGUAAAAUAGUUUCAAUUCACAAUCGAUGUAAAAUGGUUUUAAUCACCCACUACCUCGCUAAAAGGAACCUAAUGGAUCGCACACCAUAAAAGGUGGAGAUUGAAGAUUAAACGG